GCGUCAGUAGUGCAACGGGUUAGAGCACGCGCUCCAGGAUAGAGCGUCAUGUGGGUUCGAGUCUCGCCUGAGGCA
Parelaphostrongylus tenuis is the source of this 75-nucleotide non-coding RNA. Lineage: Eukaryota; Metazoa; Nematoda; Chromadorea; Rhabditida; Metastrongylidae. The record is from the annotation of a GenBank genome assembly.